CAGCAGCCCGGGAAUACGUAGGGUGCGAGCGUUAAUCGGAAUUACUGGGCGUAAAGCGUGCGCAGGCGGUUGUGUAAGACAGGUGUGAAAUCCCCGGGCUUAACCUGGGAACUGCGCUUGUGACUGCACAGCUAGAGUAUGGCAGAGGGGGGUGGAAUUCCACGUGUAGCAGUGAAAUGCGUAGAGAUGUGGAGGAACACCGAUGGCGAAGGCAGCCCCCUGGGCCAAUACUGACGCUCAUGCACGAAAGCGUGGGUAGCAAACAGGAUUAGAUACCCCAGUAGUCCCUGUCUCUUAUACA
This 301-nucleotide ribosomal RNA is filed under the name uncultured bacterium. RNAcentral's name for it is "partial 16S ribosomal RNA". It matches the Rfam family "Bacterial small subunit ribosomal RNA", at positions 509 to 808 of the family's 1533-position model. The record is from RNAcentral.